Molecule: ribosomal RNA, 455 nt
Filed under: uncultured bacterium
Lineage: Bacteria
Description: bacterial SSU rRNA
Rfam family: Bacterial small subunit ribosomal RNA
Source: RNAcentral
CGCUGGCGGCGUGCCUAACACAUGCAAGUCGAGCGAGUGAAUCUCCUUCGGGAGUGACUUAGUGGCGGACGGGUGAGUAACGCGUGGGUAACCUGCCUUACACAGGGGGAUAACAGUUAGAAAUGACUGCUAAUACCGCAUAAAACAGCAGAGUCGCAUGACUCAACUGUCAAAGAUUUAUCGGUGUAAGAUGGACCCGCGUCUGAUUAGCUUGUUGGUGGGGUAACGGCCUACCAAGGCGACGAUCAGUAGCCGGCCUGAGAGGGUGAACGGCCACAUUGGGACUGAGACACGGCCCAAACUCCUACGGGAGGCAGCAGUGGGGAAUAUUGCACAAUGGGGGAAACCCUGAUGCAGCAACGCCGCGUGAGUGAAGAAGUAUUUCGGUAUGUAAAGCUCUAUCAGCAGGAAAGAAAAUGACGGUACCUGACUAAGAAGCCCCGGCUAACUACGUG